RNAcentral lists this ribosomal RNA (252 nucleotides) under Streptomyces sp. RNAcentral describes it as "partial 16S ribosomal RNA". It matches the Rfam family "Bacterial small subunit ribosomal RNA", at positions 930 to 1173 of the family's 1533-position model. The record is from RNAcentral. Lineage: Bacteria; Bacillati; Actinomycetota; Actinomycetes; Kitasatosporales; Streptomycetaceae.
CUCGGGCGGACAUGUGGCUUAUUCGACGCAACGCGAAGAACCUUACCAAGGCUUGACAUACAUCGGAAACAUCCAGAGAUGGGUGCCCCCUUGUGGUCGGUGUACAGGUGGUGCAUGGCUGUCGUCAGCUCGUGUCGUGAGAUGUUGGGUUAAGUCCCGCAACGAGCGCAACCCUUGUCCUGUGUUGCCAGCAUGCCCUUCGGGGUGAUGGGGACUCACAGGAGACUGCCGGGGUCACUUUCCGGAGGAAGA